AGUGAAGCGGGAAAAGCUCAAAUUUAAAAUCUGGUAGUCUCUUUGGCUAUCCGAGUUGUAAUUUAGAGAAGUGUUAUCCGCGCUGGACCGUGUACAAGUCUCCUGGAAUGGAGCGUCAUAGAGGGUGAGAAUCCCGUCUCUGACACGGACUACCAGGGCUUCUGUGAUAUGCUCUCAAAGAGUCGAGUUGUUUGGGAAUGCAGCUCUAAAUGGGUGGUAAAUUCCAUCUAAAGCUAAAUAUUGGCGAGAGACCGAUAGCGAACAAGUACCGUGAGGGAAAGAUGAAAAGAACUUUGGAAAGAGAGUUAAACAGUACGUGAAAUUGUUGAAAGGGAAACGCUUGAAGUCAGUCGCGUUGGCUAGAAAUCAACCCGGCUUUUGCUAGGUGUACUUUCUGGCUUUAACGGGUCAGCAUCAAUCUUGAUUUGUGGAAAAGGGCCUAGGGAAUGUGGCAUCUUUGGAUGUGUUAUAGCCCUUGGUCGUAUACACUGGUUGGGAUUGAGGAACUCAGCACGCCCUCUGGGGUUGUGUUAAGGAUGCUGGCAUAAUGGCUUUAAUCGACCCGUCUUGAAACACGGACCAAGGAGUCUAACAUGCCUGCGAGUGUUUGGGUGGAAAACCCAAGCGCGCAAUGAAAGUGAAAGUUGAGAUCCCUGUCGUGGGGAGCAUCGACGCCCGGACCAGACCUUUUGUGACGGAUCCGCGGUAGAGCAUGUAUGUUGGGACCCGAAAGAUGGUGAACUAUGCCUGAAUAGGGUGAAG
RNAcentral lists this ribosomal RNA (762 nucleotides) under Rhodocybe lateritia. RNAcentral's name for it is "LSU rRNA". It matches the Rfam family "Eukaryotic large subunit ribosomal RNA", at positions 92 to 851 of the family's 3401-position model. Lineage: Eukaryota; Fungi; Basidiomycota; Agaricomycetes; Agaricales; Entolomataceae. The record is from RNAcentral.